This 29-nucleotide non-coding RNA is filed under the name Bombyx mori (domestic silkworm). Lineage: Eukaryota; Metazoa; Arthropoda; Insecta; Lepidoptera; Bombycidae. The record is from RNAcentral.
UACCUAAAUCAUCAGUUCUAACGCCGGAC